Molecule: unclassified non-coding RNA, 2416 nt
Filed under: Hevea brasiliensis (rubber tree)
Lineage: Eukaryota; Viridiplantae; Streptophyta; Magnoliopsida; Malpighiales; Euphorbiaceae
Source: RNAcentral
AAAGACGCGAGCUAUUGAACAUCAGGAAAAGCAAAUCAUCACAAGUUUACUGUUUUCUGGUUGACACAAACGCUAUUAUUAUCCAAUUAUUUAUCUAUACAAAAGGAGUUACAUGGCUUAAUAGCAAAUUUACCAAAUUAUACAACAAGGGAAAUGAAAAUGAUUUAAGAAUGGUUCUUAUACGGUAACACAAUAUCAUCAUAUGAUGGUUUCAAGUGCUAAAUUACCCAUCAAUCUAACCAAGGGUGCAGGACAUUUUGUAACAAUAUCAAACCUAGACGAAUUUGAGGCAUUACCAAAUAAAGAUAAGCUCAACAAGGCAAGCUCCCCUAAAGACAACUUUGAGGAGAGGAAUCCUUGCCAAUAAUAAGGUUCCAAUUCAAAGAAAGCAUCAAAGAAACUCCUGCUUCCUUUCAAGUCAAGUUUCAAAAGGGUCUCCAUCCCAAAUGAGUAAAAUUCUCUCUCACACUUCUUGUCCAAUGGCCACAAUCCAUUCCACACUUUAUGAUAAAGUGGCCUUCCUCUUAUCAUUCUGGUUGAGCCAAGGCACUCUGCAAUGGCAUCAGCCACAAUUGGGGCUAUGGCCAUUGUUCGAGCCACCAUGUACCCAGUUGAAGGGUGGACUACCCCUGAAGUACCACCGAUAGCCAUCACACUUUGAGGGACUAGAGGAAGAGGUCCUCCCAUAGGAAUCAAACAUUUCUCAUCCUCUAUUACCGUCUUCACUCUGAUUCCUAAAUGUCUCAACCUCGCUACCAUCCUUGUCUUCACCUCCAUGUAGGAUAACACAGGCCGACUCACCAGAGAUGUCUCUUCUAAAAAUAUCAAAUUGGAAUCAAAUGGCAUGGCAUACAAGAAGGUUGGAAAUCUUGAAUUGCUAGCACGCAAGUAAGGCUCAUUUCCCAUAUGGGAAUCUCUCCAAUCCAUAAGAAUCAUCUUAUCCAAGUCAAAUGGGUGACAAUCCACUUCUGCUAAUAUGCCAUGAGCAAUCUGAUACCCAUGGUUUCUUGGCUUAUCAUACUCGAUAAAAGUACUAGCAAAACCACUUGCAUCCACAACUAAGCUUGCUUUAAGAUCAUUCCCAUCAUCACAAAUAACUGAAGACUCAAACUCUUCAUGCUCUACUUUCCAAACCUUAGCCUUAUGAAAUUUAACACCAUUUGAGACGCACUUCUCCAUUAAUUUUGUCUGCAACUUCUUCCUACUAACGCGACCAUAGGGACGGUCUAAGUACUUGGUCUUGUGAUCAUCUAUGAAGACACAAGUCAUAGGCCAUGUUUUGUCCAGACAAUCUAUAAGACCCAAGCUUUCAAACUCAUCAACCCAGACACCGUAAUUAUUAGGCCACAACGAAAGUGGUGAAGGAUCAACACAGCAUACCUUAAUUCCAUAGAGGGAUACUUGCUCAGCGAGGCGCAGGCCAGCCGGUCCAGUACCAAUAAUGAUGACAUCAAAGCGGGAUCUAGCAGCCGGAUCAAACCACGAGAGAUCAAAAUCUAAGAAGUCUGGUUUUGAUUCGGGUUUCAAGUCAAGAAAGCUUCCAGACUUGCUGCUGUGGAUUCUGCAGUUGGAGUUUCUUGAAGGUGUGAUAGUGGGUCUUGGAGAAGAGAAAACAGGGACGGGGUUUGUUAUAUGGCUUAUUUGAGAAGCUUUAGUUGGAGGAGGAGGUGAAAAUAGCCUGAGAAGAGUCCCCAUUAAAGAGAAAGAUGAGAAGGUCUGAGCAGUGUCGAAUGGAAGUGAAAAUUUUGGGUUUAAACAAAAAAAAUGAGGUGGGAGAUAUGGACAGGGUGGAAUCACAGAGUGGAGCUAAGAAAGGAUGCUCCCCAGCCGAAUUUGGCCAAAGUUAAAAUAUAAAAAAUAAAUAAAUAAAAGGAAGGACACCCACUGCAUUAAUUUUAUAAUGGACAACACAAGUCAGCUUGCAACCGCAAUCUCCAACAGUAAAAGAAGAAGAAAGUGUUAAACGUGUCCUGCUAAUAGUUAUCGGAAGAAGGCACUGUCGUGAAAUUCCGCAUUGGAGAAUUUGUGAGUUUGUGAUCCAAAUGAACCAUCUGCCGAAAGUGGUCGUGAGGCGUGACAGGGGCUGUGCCUGUCCCCCACCAUCACCAGUGCCCAAUCUACAGAAUUUGCUUACUUGCCGUUUCAAAGAAGUGGCUUCAUGCAGUGUAAGUUGUGAAUAUUUCAAUCGUGAGUUGGGCAGCAUUUUGCUCUUCAUUUCAUUAUCUGUUUUUAAGCCGUUACACUUGCUCAAUUUAGUUAAGGCAGCCACGUGCAAACCUAUGCAAGAAGAAUCUGACCACGACACUUAGCCAACUCAUUUGUCGCCUCUUAUCUUUCUAUUGACGAUACAUAUCAUGCAAGAGCUGUUUCUAUAGUACUACCUAAAUAUUGAGUCUUCACAAUACCAUAUUGUAAU